GUGGGGAAUAUUGGACAAUGGGCGCAAGCCUGAUCCAGCCAUGCCGCGUGAGUGACGAAGGCCUUAGGGUUGUAAAGCUCUUUUGGCGGGGACGAUAAUGACGGUACCCGCAGAAUAAGCCCCGGCUAACUUCGUGCCAGCAGCCGCGGUAAUACGAAGGGGGCUAGCGUUGUUCGGAAUUACUGGGCGUAAAGCGCACGUAGGCGGAUGUGCCAGUCAGGGGUGAAAUCCCGAGGCUCAACCUCGGAACUGCCUCCGAUACAGCACGUCUCGAGUCCGGAAGAGGUGAGUGGAAUUCCUAGUGUAGAGGUGAAAUUCGUAGAUAUUAGGAAGAACACCAGUGGCGAAGGCGGCUCACUGGUCCGGUACUGACGCUGAGGUGCGAAAGCGUGGGGAGCAAACAGGAUUAGAAACCCCGGUAGUCC
RNAcentral lists this ribosomal RNA (425 nucleotides) under uncultured bacterium. RNAcentral describes it as "bacterial SSU rRNA". It matches the Rfam family "Bacterial small subunit ribosomal RNA", at positions 354 to 796 of the family's 1533-position model. The record is from RNAcentral.